RNAcentral lists this ribosomal RNA (663 nucleotides) under bacterium MS-AsV-42. Its description in RNAcentral is "bacterial SSU rRNA". It matches the Rfam family "Bacterial small subunit ribosomal RNA", at positions 117 to 781 of the family's 1533-position model. The record is from RNAcentral.
CUAGGAAUCUGCCCGAUAGUGGGGGACAACGUUUCGAAAGGAACGCUAAUACCGCAUACGUCCUACGGGAGAAAGUGGGGGAUCUUCGGACCUCACGCUAUCGGAUGAGCCUAGGUCGGAUUAGCUAGUUGGUGAGGUAAUGGCUCACCAAGGCGACGAUCCGUAACUGGUCUGAGAGGAUGAUCAGUCACACUGGAACUGAGACACGGUCCAGACUCCUACGGGAGGCAGCAGUGGGGAAUAUGACAAUGGGCGAAAGCCUGAUCCAGCCAUGCCGCGUGUGUGAAGAAGGUCUUCGGAUUGUAAAGCACUUUUAAGUUGGGAGGAAGGCUGUCGGCUAAUACCCUGCAGUUUGACGUUACCUACAGAAUAAGCACCGGCUAACUUCGUGCCAGCAGCCGCGGUAUACGAAAGGGUGCAAGCGUUAAUCGGAAUUACUGGGCGUAAGCGCGCGUAGGUGGUUCAGCAAGUUGGAUGUGAAAGCCCCGGGCUCAACCCUGGGAACUGCAUCCAAACUACUGAGCUAGAGUACGGUAGAGGGUGGUGGAUUUCCUGUGUAGCGGUGAAAUGCGUAGAUAUAGGAAGGAACACCAGUGGCGAAGGCGACCACCUGGACUGAUACUGACACUGAGGUGCGAAAGCGUGGGGAGCAUACAGGAUUAG